GACGAACGCUGGCGGCGUGCUUAACACAUGCAAGUCGAACGGUGAAGGGACUGGUUUUGCUGGUCCUGGAUGAGUGGCGACCGGGUGAGUAACACGUGAGUAACCUGCCCCCUUCUUCUGGAUAACCGCAUGAAAGUGUGGCUAAUACGGGAUAUUCUGGGUCUGUCGCAUGGUGGGCCUGGGAAAGAUUGCGCCUUUUUUGGUGUUUUUGGUGGGGGAUGGGCUCGCGGCCUAUCAGCUUGUUGGUGGGGUGAUGGCCUACCAAGGCGGUGACGGGUAGCCGGCCUGAGAGGGUGGACGGUCACACUGGGACUGAGACACGGCCCAGACUCCUACGGGAGGCAGCAGUGGGGAAUAUUGCACAAUGGGCGCAAGCCUGAUGCAGCGACGCCGCGUGAGGGAUGGAGGCCUUCGGGUUGUGAACCUCUUUCGCCAGUGAAGCAGGCCUGCCUCUUUUUGUGGGUGGGUUGACGGUAGCUGGAUAAGAAGCGCCGGCUAACUACGUG
This 506-nucleotide ribosomal RNA is filed under the name uncultured bacterium. Its description in RNAcentral is "partial 16S ribosomal RNA". It matches the Rfam family "Bacterial small subunit ribosomal RNA", at positions 28 to 507 of the family's 1533-position model. The record is from RNAcentral.